Molecule: non-coding RNA, 1416 nt
Organism: Cinara cedri
Lineage: Eukaryota; Metazoa; Arthropoda; Insecta; Hemiptera; Aphididae
Source: the annotation of a GenBank genome assembly
GCUUUGUCGAGGCGGACGGACAGCGAGCCGGACGCGGGUACACGCUGCGGUUUUGCGCGCGUGCCGAGAAAAUUCCCGCGGAGAAACACACGGGGAUUGGUGACCGGCGCGUGUCCUAACGCGCGCACAUCCGCAGUUGUGUGAGGCGUCCGUUCGGCGGGACAACAAUAGUAUUUAUCGCAUAGGCGUGACUUAGACCCGAACAGCGUUGUUUUUUAUCGGGCCGGGGGAGCUUUCUCUGCAGAAUUUCCCCCGAGAAAAGAUCCCACGCAGCGCGGUAUUCACUUUCGAUAACACGCAUCGCGUCGCCUAUCGGGCCGCUCGCCCGAUAUUAUAGUAUGAUAUUAUAUUUGUUAAUUUUUUCAAAAAAAAAUUUUAACAAUAAUAAUUGUUAAAAAUUCAUACCUCACCUCACCCCUUGUGACACGAUUAUUCGUCCGCCACUAACGGGAGUACUAAGCCUCCUCGACCGUCCCUCUAAUGUACCCUCUUCCCCGAUUGCGCGCCCUGAGUACCUAUUGCAGCGUAUAACUAUUUGUUUCCGCUACAAAAAUCGCGUUUUCGGCCAUCUUAAUAAUCUUUUAUAUACGAUUAUUGUUACUUUUUUUUUUUUUAUAUAUAUUAUACUUUUAUAGAAUCGACGAAAUCGAAUGUAGCACGUUAUAUUGUAAACACACACACACACACAAACACACAAACACACACACACACACGUACGCACGCACGCAAUAAUAUUAUAAUGCAAUCUUGUAAUCGCAAUAUCAUAGUUUUAAGGACGUCAUAAAAAAAAAAAAAAAAAAAAAAAAAAUUGUUAAAAAUACAAAUAAUAUACAGUUUUGUAUACUUACAAUGUUUGUUGUGCCCAUAUACAGAGUUAUAUAAAUUAUAUAUUAUUAUAUUUAUAUUAUACAUAUUAUUAUAAUAUGCAAUCGUCAAUUUAUUUAUUUAAUAUAAUAUAUUAUUAUUGUAAUAGUUCCUUUCACUGCGAUUUAUUAUUUAUAUUUUAUUUAUUUAUUUUUUAGUUUAGUCGUUCAAAAUUAUUGUAUUGUAUCUUAUGUAUAUAUUAUAUACUACGUUUUUAUUAUGUGCAAAUUUACUUUUUUUUUUUUUCUUUUUUUUUAAUUUUAUCGUUUAUUAAUCAUUGUACUACGUUAUUCAACAUUAUUGUACAAACACCACCGAAGAAAAUUUUUUGUCAUUGUCACUAUAACGUUAGGUAUAUUACAUUUUGGGCCACGCACGUUGCCGAAAAUCACGCACAGUGAAGAUAAAAAAAAUAAUAAUAAUAAUAACAAAAAAAAAAAAACCACACACACUCUUUUACUAAAUCAUACAAUAUUAUAUACCAUUUUAAACAAUUUUUUUUUUUUUUUUUAAAUAUAUUACACGCGGUACAUUUUUGUGCGUUUAAUCGAC